Molecule: ribosomal RNA, 498 nt
Filed under: uncultured bacterium
Lineage: Bacteria
Description: partial 16S ribosomal RNA
Rfam family: Bacterial small subunit ribosomal RNA
Source: RNAcentral
GACGAACGCUGGCGGCGUGCCUAAUACAUGCCAGUCGAACGAGAGCGCCCGGUGCUUGCACUGGUCAAUCUAGUGGCGAACGGGUGAGUAACACGUGGGUAACCUGCCCAUCAGAGGGGGAUAACAUCCGGAAACGGAUGCUAAAACCGCAUAGGUCUUCGAACCGCAUGGUUUGAAGAGGAAAAGAGGCGCAAGCUUCUGCUGAUGGAUGGACCCGCGGUGCAUUAGCUAGUUGGUGAGGUAACGGCUCUCCAAGGCCGUGAUGCAUAGCCGACCUGAGAGGGUGAUCGGCCACAUUGGGACUGAGACACGGCCCAAACUCCUACGGGAGGCAGCAGUAGGGAAUCUUCCGCAAUGGACGCAAGUCUGACGGAGCAACGCCGCGUGAGUGAAGAAGGUUUUCGGAUCGUAAAACUCUGUUGUUAGAGAAGAACAAGUGCUAGAGUAACUGUUAGCGCCUUGACGGUAUCUAACCAGAAAGCCACGGCUAACUACGUG